UGUAUGAACGGGCGGCUGGGCGGGCAGGAGGCUGGGCCGGGGGAGGGCCGGGUGGUCCCGCUCCCCCGCCCCCGCCCCGCCGGCCUCGCCGAGCACAAGUGUUGGGAUUCCCACGGACCGGCGUGCUCUGCGGCUGGAGGCCGGGGCGCCGGGGCCCGGGAGACUUGGAGGACACAGAGGGGUUUGUAGACACGGUGACCUCCGCGCUCCAGCUCUGAAAGGGCCUGAAAGGAGACGUUUAUGGUGCAUUACCAGUCAAGGGCUCAGGGCUGGUGAGAAUGAGAGGGAAAUGCCAGCCUCUACCGGACACCUGCCCUCAAGGUCCUGGUGUCUGUCUAACAGUGGCUCAGAGAGGGACACUGCAGGAGAGAUGGAGGAAGACUGCUUGGAGGCCCCUGCCGGUGCUGAGGGCUUGCUCUGCCCCUACACCACUUUUUGCUGGACCGUGUAACAACAUUUCGUCCCAUGUCAUCCUUUUUCAACUGCACAUCACGCAAAAAUCAGUUACAGAAGGAACCUACCUUGUAUCUACCUGUCCCUGCCAGCCCAUGCUGAUUCCACCUACUGAAGGGUACUUGUUGAAAAUGGCACAAGCUAAUAUCCAUUUCAUGAAGACAUCAUGAACGCCAACAUUUUUCUUUUUUACAAAAUAAGUUCAUUAACAUUUUUAAAAACUUCCUGAGUGUAUGUUCACAAAAAUCAAAAGAAGUAAAAGAGUUAUACAAUGAAAAAUUCUAUG
Sciurus carolinensis (gray squirrel) is the source of this 739-nucleotide long non-coding RNA. RefSeq lists it as uncharacterized. Lineage: Eukaryota; Metazoa; Chordata; Mammalia; Rodentia; Sciuridae. The transcript is spliced from 3 exons. The record is from RefSeq and is a predicted model, not a curated record.